This 312-nucleotide ribosomal RNA is filed under the name uncultured bacterium. RNAcentral describes it as "partial 16S ribosomal RNA". The record is from RNAcentral.
UUAGGACAUGGGGAGGAACCUCCAUCCAGUUCAUGACCACGUUGCUGUGAAUGAAGGCCCUUAGUGGUUGUAAGAGCACUAUUAAGCGAGCGAGGACUGCUAACUAAGAUUAAGUACCCUAGUAGAAUAGUUGGAACGUUACGUCGACAAAACUAAGCCGACAGGGCAUAACCAUCUGUGUGCCCAGACAGCCCGGCGGAUAAAUACAUGAAGGGUUGACAAGGCGUUAUAAUCUCGGAAUUAUACGUGGGGCUCGUUUAAAGGCGUGCGGCGAUAGUGACGUGUCUUAANUAUAGAANUACGAAAGUGUUA